This 67-nucleotide transfer RNA is filed under the name Angiostrongylus costaricensis. It matches the Rfam family "tRNA". From Rfam's summary of the family: Transfer RNA (tRNA) molecules are approximately 80 nucleotides in length. Their secondary structure includes four short double-helical elements and three loops (D, anti-codon, and T loops). Lineage: Eukaryota; Metazoa; Nematoda; Chromadorea; Rhabditida; Metastrongylidae. The record is from Rfam by way of RNAcentral.
GUUGUUGGUUCAGUGGUAGAAUGCUCGCCUGCCACGCCGGCGACCCGGGUUCGAUUUCCGGCCAACG